GACGAACGCUGGCGGCGUGCUUAACACAUGCAAGUCGAACGGAAAGGCCCUGCGUUUGUGGGGUGCUCGAGUGGCGAACGGGUGAGUAACACGUGAGUAACCUGCCCUUGACUUUGGGAUAACUUCAGGAAACUGGGGCUAAUACCGGAUAGGAGCUCCUGCUGCAUGGUGGGGGUUGGUAAGUUUCGGCGGUUGGGGAUGGACUCGCGGCUUAUCAGCUUGUUGGUGGGGUAGUGGCUUACCAAGGCUUUGACGGGUAGCCGGCCUGAGAGGGUGACCGGCCACAUUGGGACUGAGAUACGGCCCAGACUCCUACGGGAGGCAGCAGUGGGGAAUAUUGCACAAUGGGCGGAAGCCUGAUGCAGCAACGCCGCGUGCGGGAUGACGGCCUUCGGGUUGUAAACCGCUUUCGCCUGUGACGAAGCGUGAGUGACGGUAAUGGGUAAAGAAGCACCGGCUAACUACGUG
This 468-nucleotide ribosomal RNA is filed under the name uncultured bacterium. Its description in RNAcentral is "partial 16S ribosomal RNA". It matches the Rfam family "Bacterial small subunit ribosomal RNA", at positions 28 to 507 of the family's 1533-position model. The record is from RNAcentral.